RNAcentral lists this ribosomal RNA (433 nucleotides) under uncultured bacterium. Its description in RNAcentral is "partial 16S ribosomal RNA". It matches the Rfam family "Bacterial small subunit ribosomal RNA", at positions 29 to 507 of the family's 1533-position model. The record is from RNAcentral.
AACGAACGCUGGCGGCAUGCCUAACACAUGCAAGUCGAACGAGACCUUCGGGUCUAGUGGCGCACGGGUGCGUAACGCGUGGGAACCUGCCCUUAGGUUCGGAAUAACUCCCCGACAGGGGUGCUAAUACCGGAUAAUGUCUUCGGACCAAAGAUUUAUCGCCUUUGGAUGGGCCCGCGUUGGAUUAGCUAGUUGGUAGGGUAAAAGCCUACCAAGGCGACGAUCCAUAGCUGGUCUGAGAGGAUGAUCAGCCACACUGGGACUGAGACACGGCCCAGACUCCUACGGGAGGCAGCAGUGGGGAAUAGUGGACAAUGGGCGAAAGCCUGAUCCAGCAAUGCCGCGUGAGUGAUGAAGGCCUUAGGGUUGUAAAGCUCUUUUACCCGGGAUGAUAAUGACAGUACCGGGAGAAUAAGCUCCGGCUAACUCCGUG